This 927-nucleotide ribosomal RNA is filed under the name Clostridia bacterium enrichment culture clone HB_117. RNAcentral's name for it is "bacterial SSU rRNA". It matches the Rfam family "Bacterial small subunit ribosomal RNA", at positions 8 to 916 of the family's 1533-position model. The record is from RNAcentral. Lineage: Bacteria; Bacillati; Bacillota; Clostridia.
AGAGUUUGAUCCUGGCUCAGAACGAACGCUGGCGGCGGGCUAAUACAUGCAAGUCGAACGAGAAAUCCGGCUUCGGCUGGGUGGAGUAAAGUGGCGAACGGGUGAGUAACACGUGGGCAAUCUGCCCUUAAGUUUGGGAUAAGCCCUCGAAAGGGGGUCUAAUACCGGAUAAUAUCCGGAGAUGGCAUCUUUUCCGGAUCAAAGGCGGAGCAAUCUGCCGCUUAGGGAUGAGCCCGCGUCCCAUUAGCUUGUUGGUGAGGUAACGGCUCACCAAGGCUGUGAUGGGUAGCCGGCCUGAGAGGGUGAUCGGCCACACUGGGACUGAGAUACGGCCCAGACUCCUACGGGAGGCAGCAGUAGGGAAUAUUGCGCAAUGGACGAAAGUCUGACGCAGCCACGCCGCGUGGAUGAUGAAGCUUUUCGGAGUGUAAAAUCCUGUCAGUGGGGAAGAACCGGUCGGGGAGUAACUGCCCCGGCCCUGACGGUACCCGCAGAGGAAGUUCCGGCUAACUCCGUGCCAGCAGCCGCGGUAAUACGGGGGGAACAAGCGUUGUUCGGAUUCACUGGGCGUAAAGGGCGUGUAGGCGGAUUUGCAAGUCAGAUGUGAAAACCGGCGGCUCAACCACCGGCCUGCAUCUGAUACUGCUAAUCUUGAGUACGGUGGAGGAAAGUGGAAUUCCAGGUGUAGCGGUGACAUGCGUAGAUAUCUGGAAGAACACCGGUGGCGAAGGCGGCUUUCUGGACCGAUACUGACGCUGAGGCGCGAAAGCCAGGGGAGCAAACAGGAUUAGAUACCCUGGUAGUCCUGGCCGUAAACGAUGGGUACUAGGUGUUGGAGGUAUCGACCCCUUCAGUGCCGCAGCAAACGCAUUAAGUACCCCGCCUGGGGAGUACGAUCGCAAGGUUGAAACUCAAAUGAAUUGACGG